UACGUAGGGGGCAAGCGUUGUCCGGAUUCAUUGGGCGUAAAGAGCGUGUAGGCGGCCAGGUAGGUCUGCUGUGAAAACUCGAGGCUUAACCUCGAGAUGUCGGUGGAAACCAUCUGGCUAGAGUCCGGAAGAGGAGAGUGGAAUUCCUGGUGUAGCGGUGAAAUGCGCAGAUAUCAGGAAGAACACCCGUGGCGAAGGCGGCUCUCUGGGACGGUACUGACGCUGAGACGCGAAAGCGUGGGGAGCGAACAGG
This 253-nucleotide ribosomal RNA is filed under the name uncultured bacterium. RNAcentral describes it as "partial 16S ribosomal RNA". It matches the Rfam family "Bacterial small subunit ribosomal RNA", at positions 524 to 776 of the family's 1533-position model. The record is from RNAcentral.